UCGAGAAACCCUCAGACAAAGUGUUGUUCUUUUUCUCUCAUGCCGCCGCUUCUCUCCCUAAAGAUUCCAAACGAUGAACCUCUGCCUCAACCUUUCCUUUUCCGAUCUACCGUUACUCUGAUGAAUUCAAAUCUUCAUCUGAAUAGCCAUUUCCGUAAGCGUCUUCUCCUUCGAUUCCUUUUCAACUCACAACGAGCUUGAGAAACUCUCCGUCUUCCUUGUAAAUCUUCAAGACUAACCACUUCCUCUUCUGUGAUUCAUGUUCCCUCAUGACGAUUUACGACGUCACCAGUUAAAGAACCCUUUGCAUGUAACUCACAGGUAACGUCUCCUUCCAAGAUUUGACUCUAUCACGUCAGUAACAGUUCUGACUCAAAUCUUCUUUCUUAUUUCAUAACUUCUACCUUGACGACUUACUACUUCGGAGUACCAGCUGAAUAAGAAACUGUCCUCCUCUGCAAACUGAUUCGCCCUUUCAGAUGCUCCACCUGAAGCCUCACUUUCGUGAUAGCUUCAACUCUCUCAGGUAACUCCAUCUUUAGUUUUCUUUCUGAGUAUACUUGCAUCUUUAUGAAGUCUUGAUAGUAUCAGCUUAGUCUUCUGACACUGACUUCAUCCCCUCUUUUACUUUUGCGAGAUGCAAUCUGGAGUUACCCGGAGCCACAGUCGCACUCAGGCGACAUUCAGACCUUCACGGCAGAGCUGGAACUUAGAACCAUGUAUCGUUUUGGUCAAGAAAUCCGCUAGGUUGAUAGACGUAUGAAUCUUAGAUAGAGUAACCCAUCCUUUAGCUACUAUAUCUCUGAUGAAAUGAAACUCUGUGUCCAUAUGCUUUGUUCUUUCAUGAUGAACUGUGUUUUUGGAUAAUGCAAUUGCACUUUGAGAGUCGCAGUGUAUCCUUACACUGCUUUGCUCAAAUCUCAUUUAUGUGCAAAUCCCUCUUAACCAAAUAUCUUCUUUCACAGCCAGAGUCAGAGCCAUGUACCUGACUUCUGUGGUUGAAAGAGCUACAACUGACUGUAGUCCGGAUUUCCAUGACAUAGUAUUUCCACCAAGCUUGAAAACAAUCCUGAAACUGAUCUUCGUUUUUCCAAAUCUGUAGAAUAAUCAGAAUCUAAAGACCCUUCAACACUGAAAUCUGAGCUUCACCUGAAGGUCAAACACAGAUCAUAGGUUCCUUUCACAUAUCUAAGAAUUCAUUUAGCUGCUUCCCAAUGCUCUAUGCUCGGGUGUGACAUAAAUCUGCAGACUAAACCAACUGCGAAUCCCAAAUCUGGACGCGAACCAACCAUUGCAUAAAUCAAACUUCCCACGACACUCGCAUACGGGAUAUUCUUCAUGUAUUCAAACUCUUCAGCUCUUUCUUUCGGAUGUAGACUCUUCAAUUUGAAGUGUGAGGCCGUAGGUGUGACAACAGACUUAGCCUCAUACAUUCCAAAAGUUCUUAGUACUUUCCCCAGAUACCUCUGUUGAGAUAGUACUAAAAUUCCCUUCUCUCUAUCACGAAUGAUGUCCAUCCCCAAGAUUCUGGAAGCCUUUCCCAAAUCUUUCAUUUCAAACUCUCUGCUCAGACUGUCCUUUAGAGCUUGAAUUACCUUAGGGUUUCCCGAAGCAAUCAACAUAUCAUCUACAUACAAC
RNAcentral lists this long non-coding RNA (1638 nucleotides) under Brassica napus (rape). RNAcentral describes it as "long non-coding RNA (BNAP_LNC018487)". The record is from RNAcentral. Lineage: Eukaryota; Viridiplantae; Streptophyta; Magnoliopsida; Brassicales; Brassicaceae.